CACACCUUUGUGUGUGUUCUGGUCGUACAAAACACAGGAGCCAAGAAGGGCUCUCAAGCUCAAACCCUAACAAGCAUAAAAUCAACAAAUUGAAGGGGGGUAAAUCCAACCUAAAUCGAAAUACAAGCACGAAUUCAUGAUCACCUCGAUGAAGGGAUCAUAAGUUUGACUCUUGACAAGCUAGAUGGAGGCUUGGGGAAAGAAGCGGGUCAAACGGAUCGUAUACGCGGAAAAGAGCAUAAUCCGGAUACUAGGUGAAGAUGGACCUAAUCCGGAUGAAGAUCAAGCGGCAAGCAAGAACCGAACACACGUUAAAUGAAGCUUCCGCGUCAAA
This is a long non-coding RNA of Helianthus annuus (common sunflower), 334 nucleotides long. RefSeq lists it as uncharacterized. The transcript is spliced from 3 exons. NCBI's taxonomy places the organism in Eukaryota, Viridiplantae, Streptophyta, Magnoliopsida, Asterales, Asteraceae. The record is from RefSeq and is a predicted model, not a curated record.